CGCAGCCUUGUCAAAUUCAGUCCUCCCUCUUCAGUGGGUGCCACUGGCCAAAAUGGCUGCCACAGUAAUUGUGUAGUUCAUGGGCCCUACGAUGCUUUAACAUAGCCCCUAGGGAUAAUUUUGUACUACACACAAAC
Molecule: small nucleolar RNA, 137 nt
Organism: Sphaeramia orbicularis (orbiculate cardinalfish)
Lineage: Eukaryota; Metazoa; Chordata; Actinopteri; Kurtiformes; Apogonidae
Product: small nucleolar RNA SNORA5
Source: Ensembl